RNAcentral lists this ribosomal RNA (366 nucleotides) under uncultured eukaryote. Its description in RNAcentral is "partial 18S ribosomal RNA". It matches the Rfam family "Eukaryotic small subunit ribosomal RNA", at positions 592 to 976 of the family's 1831-position model. The record is from RNAcentral.
CAAUAGCGUAUAUUAACGUUGUUGCAGUUAAAAAGCUCGUAGUUGGAUUUGUGGAGGGAGCGUCGGCCCGUAUUUACGAGUGCGUGACGUCUCUGUCCAUCCUUGCGGGAAGGCACGGCAUUGAUUUGUUGUGUCGGAUCGCAUCAUUUACUGUGAAAAAAUUAGAGUGUUCAAAGCAGGCUUUCGCUUGAAUACAUUAGCAUGGAAUAAUAAGAUAGGACUUUGGUGCUGUUUUGUUGGUUGAGCCUAAAGUAAUGAUUAAUAGGGAUAGUUGGGGGCACCUGUAUUGCGUUGUCAGAGGUGAAAUUCUUGGAUUUACGCAAGACAAACAGCUGCGAAAGCGUCUGCCAAGGAUGUUUUCAUUAA